AAGGGGUGGGCUGCUGCAGACCCAUGUGGUGCUCUGACUCAUGCCCUCUCAGCCUAACCUCUAAUUUCAGCAGAGAUUGGGGUGUGUUUCUGUUCCAUGGCUAAGUCGCUGCAUGCUCACAGCGGCUUACUUCAAGCACGGGCUGCAAGGUUUUACUUUCUUCAUCAGGAUUCCUCUCAUGCCAUGAAUGCGGGAAGUUCACAAUUGUAGGAGUUGAUAUUCCUAGAGAAAAAUGCUGAAAGCUACAUAUGAGGCAGUCCUGCUCCUCAGGGCCCAUGGAAGCUCAGAUUCCUCUUGUCUACCUGCUCUGCCAGGUGUUGUUUUUGGUGGCUUAAUGCCACUUCCACUCUCUAGCCAGUAGAAAGUGGAUCGGGCAUUAUGCAGAGCACGAAGAGGAGCACAUUGUAGUCUCUGAAUUCAGAAGAAGCAGAUAGCAAAGGUGAAGUUUCCUUCCAGGUGGAAAUUGCCAAUUGGUCUAUGGAAUGGUGAGAAUACUGUGAAAGGAGUAGCACAGAUAUCCAAGUGUGAUCGGUCAGUGGGUCUUGGCCAGGAGCAUACACAGAAUAAACAAAUGAAUAAAUAAAGAGGGGAAGGGAAAGUAAUAUUAGGACUGUCCAAGACUUGGAGUACAGCUCUCCUAAAAAGCAGUCCUUUGAAGUCUUGGGAUAUUACAGAAAGAUCCCAACAACCACUGAGCCUGGUUUCAAUUUUUGGAGGAGACACACCAGGUGAAUAAAGCAGUGUGACAUGAGAGAAAGGAGGGCGGCAAAGGUGAAUGGGACCCCAGCCUUUCAACGACUUGGGCAGAGCAACUGGAGGAGGUGCGAGUUCAGCCAACAGUGUGGAUCAGUUUCCUAGGCUGCCGUAACAAAGCACCACAACCUGGUGGCUUAGAACAACGGAAAGGCAUUUGCUCAUGGUUCCAGAAGCUGUAGGUUAGAAACUAAGUGUGGCAGGGUCAUGGCCCCUCUGAAACCUAGGAGGGAAGGAUGCUUCCCUGCUUCUUCCUGCUUCUGCUAUCCCCUGAUGUUCCUGGAUUAGUGGCAGCAUAAUUCUGGCCUCUGCCUCUGUCUUAACAUGGUGUUUUUUCCUGUGUCUCUUCAUAGUGCCUUUUCUCUCUGUGCCUCUACCUCUGAGUCCAAAUUGCCCCUUUUUAUAAGGACAUCAGUCACAUUGGAUUAGGGCCCACUAUACAGACCUUGUUUUAACUUGAUUCCUCUAUCAAGACCCUGAGAAUCUCCAAAUAAGGCCACAUUCUGAGGAACCGUGGGUUCGGACUUCAACAUGUCUUUUUUGGGGGUCACAACUCAACCCAUACCAGCUUGCUUGAUGGAUAUUCAUAGCUGACGUCAAAGUAAAUUUAAUUCUCAUCCUCAGAAGCAAGAAAGAUUCCACAACUAAGGCCAACAAUAACAUCCAGGGAGUUCGUUUCUUGAGCAACGACCAGCUCUUUGCACAGCACAAAUUGCCAAAAAAGGCCAGCAUGGUCAUUUCUCGGCCAUGCACACCUGUGAUGUGGCAAGCCAU
RNAcentral lists this long non-coding RNA (1527 nucleotides) under Pongo abelii (Sumatran orangutan). RNAcentral describes it as "lincRNA". Lineage: Eukaryota; Metazoa; Chordata; Mammalia; Primates; Hominidae. The record is from RNAcentral.